GACGAACGCUGGCGGCGUGCUUAACACAUGCAAGUCGAACGGAAAGGCCCUGCUUUUGUGGGGUGCUCGAGUGGCGAACGGGUGAGUAACACGUGAGUAACCUGCCCUUGACUUUGGGAUAACUUCAGGAAACUGGGGCUAAUACCGGAUAGGAGCUCCUGCUGCAUGGUGGGGGUUGGAAAGUUUCGGCGGUUGGGGAUGGACUCGCGGCUUAUCAGCUUGUUGGUGGGGUAGUGGCUUACCAAGGCUUUGACGGGUAGCCGGCCUGAGAGGGUGACCGGGGACAAGGGGACUAAGAGACGGAGCAGAGGGGUACGGGAGGCAGCAGGGGGGAACAUGGGACAAUGGGCGGAGGCGGGAGACAGAAGCGCCGCGGGCGGGAUGACGGCCUGCGGGGAGUGAACAGCUGUCGCCUGAUACGAAGCGGGAAUGACGGUAAUGGGUGAAGAAGCACCGGCUAACUACGUG
Molecule: ribosomal RNA, 468 nt
Filed under: uncultured bacterium
Lineage: Bacteria
Description: partial 16S ribosomal RNA
Rfam family: Bacterial small subunit ribosomal RNA
Source: RNAcentral